Molecule: non-coding RNA, 26 nt
Filed under: Cricetulus griseus (Chinese hamster)
Lineage: Eukaryota; Metazoa; Chordata; Mammalia; Rodentia; Cricetidae
Source: RNAcentral
AAGGACAAGUUUGAUGGGCGACCUAC